RNAcentral lists this ribosomal RNA (411 nucleotides) under uncultured bacterium. RNAcentral's name for it is "partial 16S ribosomal RNA". It matches the Rfam family "Bacterial small subunit ribosomal RNA", at positions 355 to 755 of the family's 1533-position model. The record is from RNAcentral.
UGGGGAAUUUUGGACAAUGGGCGAAAGCCUGAUCCAGCAAUGCCGCGUGUGUGAAGAAGGCCUUCGGGUUGUAAAGCACUUUUGUCCGGAAAGAAAUCCUUGGCUCUAAUACAGUCGGGGGAUGACGGUACCGGAAGAAUAAGCACCGGCUAACUACGUGCCAGCAGCCGCGGUAAUACGUAGGGUGCAAGCGUUAAUCGGAAUUACUGGGCGUAAAGCGUGCGCAGGCGGUUUGCUAAGACCGAUGUGAAAUCCCCGGGCUCAACCUGGGAACUGCAUUGGUGACUGGCAGGCUAGAGUAUGGCAGAGGGGGGUUAGAAUUCCACGUGUAGCAGUGAAAUGCGUAGAGAUGUGGAGGAAUACCGAUGGCGAAAGGCAGCCCCCCUGGGCCAAUACUGACGCUCAUGCACG